AAAGCCCCCGGCUAACUACGUGCCAGCAGCCGCGGUAAUACGUAGGGGGCAAGCGUUGUCCGGAAUUAUUGGGCGUAAAGCGCGCGCAGGCGGUCCUUUAAGUCUGAUGUGAAAGCCCACGGCUUAACCGUGGAGGGCCAUUGGAAACUGGAGGACUUGAGUACAGAAGAGGAGAGUGGAAUUCCACGUGUAGCGGUGAAAUGCGUAGAGAUGUGGAGGAACACCAGUGGCGAAGGCGACUCUCUGGUCUGUAACUGACGCUGAGGUGCGAAAGCGUGGGUAGCGAACAGGAUUAGAUACCCUGGUAGUCCACGCCGUAAACGAUGAGUGCUAGGUGUUAGGGGGUUUCCGCCCCUUAGUGCUGAAGUUAACGCAUUAAGCACUCCGCCUGGGGAGUACGGCCGCAAGGCUGAAACUCAAAAGAAUUGACGGGGACCCGCACAAGCGGUGGAGCAUGUGGUUUAAUUCGAAGCAACGCGAAGAACCUUACCAGGUCUUGACAUCCUCUGACACCCCUAGAGAUAGGGCAUUCCCUUCGGGGACAGAGUGACAGGUGGUGCAUGGUUGUCGUCAGCUCGUGUCGUGAGAUGUUGGGUUAAGUCCCGCAACGAGCGCAACCCUUGAUCUUAGUUGCCAGCAUUUAGUUGGGCACUCUAAGGUGACUGCCGGUGACAAACCGGAGGAAGGUGGGGAUGACGUCAAAUCAUCAUGCCCCUUAUGACCUGGGCUACACACGUGCUACAAUGGAUGGA
RNAcentral lists this ribosomal RNA (752 nucleotides) under Halobacillus sp. Its description in RNAcentral is "bacterial SSU rRNA". It matches the Rfam family "Bacterial small subunit ribosomal RNA", at positions 487 to 1238 of the family's 1533-position model. The record is from RNAcentral. Lineage: Bacteria; Bacillati; Bacillota; Bacilli; Caryophanales; Bacillaceae.